AUUGAACGCUGGCGGCAUGCCUUACACAUGCAAGUCGAACGGUAACAGGUUAAGCUGACGAGUGGCGAACGGGUGAGUAAUAUAUCGGAACGUGCCCAGUCGUGGGGGAUAACUGCUCGAAAGAGCAGCUAAUACCGCAUACGACCUGAGGGUAAAAGCGGGGGAUCGCCAGACCUCGCGCGAUUGGAGCGGCCGAUAUCAGAUUAGCUAGUUGGUGGGGUAAAAGCCUACCAAGGCAACGAUCUGUAGCUGGUCUGAGAGGACGACCAGCCACACUGGGACUGAGACACGGCCCAGACUCCUACGGGAGGCAGCAGUGGGGAAUUUUGGACAAUGGACGAAAGUCUGAUCCAGCCAUGCCGCGUGCGGGAAGAAGGCCUUCGGGUUGUAAACCGCUUUUGUCAGGGAAGAAAAGGUUCUGGUUAAUACCUGGGACUCAUGGCGGUACCUGAAGAAUAAGCACCGGCUAACUACGUGCCAGCAGCCGCAGUAA
Molecule: ribosomal RNA, 493 nt
Filed under: uncultured bacterium
Lineage: Bacteria
Description: partial 16S ribosomal RNA
Rfam family: Bacterial small subunit ribosomal RNA
Source: RNAcentral